This 449-nucleotide ribosomal RNA is filed under the name uncultured bacterium. RNAcentral's name for it is "partial 16S ribosomal RNA". It matches the Rfam family "Bacterial small subunit ribosomal RNA", at positions 29 to 523 of the family's 1533-position model. The record is from RNAcentral.
AGCGAACGCUGGCGGCAGGCCUAACACAUGCAAGUCGAACGAACUCUUCGGAGUUAGUGGCGGACGGGUGAGUAACACGUGGGAACGUGCCUUUAGGUUCGGAAUAACUCAGGGAAACUUGUGCUAAUACCGAAUGUGCCCUUCGGGGGAAAGAUUUAUCGCCUUUAGAGCGGCCCGCGUCUGAUUAGCUCGUUGGGGAGGUAAAGGCUCACCAGGGCGACGAUCAGUAGCUGGUCUGAGAGGAUGAUCAGCCACAUUGGGACUGAGACACGGACCAAACUCCUACGGGAGGCAGCGGUGGGGAAUCUUGCGCAAUGGGCGAAGGCCUGACGCAGCCAUGCCGCGUGAAUGAUGAAGGUCUUAGGAUUGUGAAAUUCUUUCACCGGGGACGAUAAUGGCGGUACCCGGAGAAGAAGCCCCGGCUAACUUCGUGCCAGCCGCCGCUGUAA